RNAcentral lists this ribosomal RNA (464 nucleotides) under uncultured bacterium. RNAcentral describes it as "partial 16S ribosomal RNA". It matches the Rfam family "Bacterial small subunit ribosomal RNA", at positions 29 to 507 of the family's 1533-position model. The record is from RNAcentral.
ACGAACGCUGGCGGCGUGCUUAACACAUGCAAGUCGAACGGAAAGGCCCCCUUGUGGGGUACUCGAGUGGCGAACGGGUGAGUAACACGUGAGUAACCUACCCUUGACUUUGGGAUAACUUCAGGAAACUGGGGCUAAUACCGGAUAGGAGCUCCUGCUGCAUGGUGGGGGUUGGAAAGUUUCGGCGGUUGGGGAUGGGCUCGCGGCUUAUCAGCUUGUUGGUGGGGUAGUGGCUCACCAAGGCUUUGACGGGUAGCCGGCCUGAGAGGGUGACCGGCCACAUUGGGACUGAGAUACGGCCCAGACUCCUACGGGAGGCAGCAGUGGGGAAUAUUGCACAAUGGGCGGAAGCCUGAUGCAGCAACGCCGCGUGCGGGAUGACGGCCUUCGGGUUGUAAACCGCUUUCGCCUGUGACGAAGCGUGAGUGACGGUAAUGGGUAAAGAGGCACCGGCUAACUACGUG